GAUGAAGAACGUAGCGAAAUGCGAUAAGUAAUGUGAAUUGCAGAAUUCAGUGAAUCACCGAAUCUUUGAACGCACAUUGCGCCCCCUGGUAUUCCGGGGGGCAUGCCUGUUCGAGCGUCAUUUCACCACUCAAGCCUCGCUUGGUAUUGGGCAACGCGGUCCGCCGCGUGCCUCAAAUCGACCGGCUGGGUCUUCUGUCCCCUAAGCGUUGUGGAAACUUUCGCUAAAGGGUGUUCGGGAGGCUACGCCGUAAAACAACCCCAUUUCUAAGGUUGACCUCGGAUCAGGUAGGGAUACCCGCUGAACUUAAGCAUAUCAAUAAGCGGAGGA
RNAcentral lists this unclassified non-coding RNA (330 nucleotides) under soil metagenome. RNAcentral's name for it is "partial contains 5.8S ribosomal RNA, internal transcribed spacer 2, and large subunit ribosomal RNA". The stretch from base 1 to 120 matches the Rfam family "5.8S ribosomal RNA", at positions 35 to 154 of the family's 154-position model. The record is from RNAcentral.